Molecule: ribosomal RNA, 301 nt
Filed under: uncultured bacterium
Lineage: Bacteria
Description: partial 16S ribosomal RNA
Rfam family: Bacterial small subunit ribosomal RNA
Source: RNAcentral
CAGCCGCCACGGUAAUACGUAGGGUGCGAGCGUUAAUCGGAAUUACUGGGCGUAAAGCGUGCGCAGGCGGUUUUGUAAGACAGGCGUGAAAUCCCCGGGCUCAACCUGGGAAUGGCGCUUGUGACUGCAAAGCUAGAGUGCGGCAGAGGGGGAUGGAAUUCCGCGUGUAGCAGUGAAAUGCGUAGAUACGCGGAGGAACACCGAUGGCGAAGGCAAUCCCCUGGGCCUGCACUGACGCUCAUGCACGAAAGCGUGGGGAGCAAACAGGAUUAGAUACCCCUGUAGUCCCUGUCUCUUAUAC